GACGAACGCUGGCGGCGUGCUUAACACAUGCAAGUCGAACGGGCCUGUCUUCUUUUUUGGGGGUGGGUUGAGUGGCGAACGGGUGAGUAUCACGUGAGUAACCUGCCCUUCGGUCCUGGAUAACCGCUUGAAAGGGCGGCUAAUACGGGGUGGUCCGGUUGGUCCGCAUGGGCUGGUCGGGAUAGAUUCACUGUUUUUGGUGUUUCGGCGGGGGAUGGGCUCGCGGCCUAUCAGCUUGUUGGUGGGGUGAUGGCCUACCAAGGCGGUGACGGGUAGCCGGCCUGAGGGGGUGGGCGGCCACACUGGGACUGAGAUACGGCCCAGACUCCUGCGGGGGGCAGCAGUGGGGGGUAUUGCACAAGGGGCGGAAGCCUGAUGCAGCGACGUCGCGUGAGGGAGGGAGGCCUUCGGGUUGUGAACCUCUGUUUCCGGUGGUGAAGGCCCUGUCCGUGUGGUGGGGUUGACGGUAGCCGGGGAUGAAGCGCCGGCUAACUACGUG
Molecule: ribosomal RNA, 499 nt
Filed under: uncultured bacterium
Lineage: Bacteria
Description: partial 16S ribosomal RNA
Rfam family: Bacterial small subunit ribosomal RNA
Source: RNAcentral